UACGUAGGGUGCGAGCGUUAAUCGGAAUUACUGGGCGUAAAGCGUGCGCAGGCUGUUUGGUAAGUCAGAUGUGAAAUCCCCGAGCUCAACUUGGGAACUGCGUUUGAAACUACCAGACUAGAAUAUGUCAGAGGGGGGGUAGGAAUUCCACGUGUAGCAGUAGAAAUGCGUAGAGAUGUGGACGGAAUGACCGAGUGGCCGAAGGCAGACCCCUGGGAUAAUAUUGACGCUCAUAGC
RNAcentral lists this ribosomal RNA (237 nucleotides) under uncultured bacterium. RNAcentral describes it as "partial 16S ribosomal RNA". It matches the Rfam family "Bacterial small subunit ribosomal RNA", at positions 524 to 752 of the family's 1533-position model. The record is from RNAcentral.